This 1521-nucleotide ribosomal RNA is filed under the name Triticum aestivum (bread wheat). RNAcentral describes it as "partial small subunit ribosomal RNA". The record is from RNAcentral. Lineage: Eukaryota; Viridiplantae; Streptophyta; Magnoliopsida; Poales; Poaceae.
AUGGAGACGUCCAUGGCGACUUCGACGACGAGCAAUCGCUUCGCGCACCGCAUGCUCAGCCUCCACCGCCUCAUCAAGAACAACGUCGUCGCAUCUCUCCUCGGGGGCCACCGCCAGACCACGCCGGCGACGACGGGAACACCGGUGCCGCUUCCAGCAACACGCCUGCUCGGUAACAGCAAGACCGCGGCGGUUGUCGACGUCGACGCGCUACUCCUGAAUUCUUCGAUGCCGUCCGCGGCGACUUUAUUCCCACCUUUCUUCCUCGUCGCGGUCGAGGCUGGCAGCUUCGUCCGAGGCUUCCUCCUGCUGGCGCUCUACCCGUUCCUCCGCGUCCUGAAGCAUGGGACGUGUUUAAAAGCCAUGGCCAUGGUCUGCUUCUGCGGGCUGCGGCGCAACGAGGCGGCGAGGAUCGGGAGGGCCGUGCUGCCAAAGUAUUUCUUCAAGGAGGCGGCGCACGUGGAGGCGCUAGCGAAGGUGGCCGGAGAGUCGCCGAAAGAGGUGAAGGUGGCAGCGGUUAGUAGGACUUUUCCAACGGUGAUGGUGGAGGCGUUCUUGAAAGAGUAUGUUGGGUUCGACGCGGUGGUCGGCAGGGAGGUGAAGGCAGGUUACCGGUACUUCGCCGGCGUGAUGGAGGACGAGAAGACGGACACAACGAUGGAGAGUCUUGUUGAUGGGCUAAAGCAAACCGAGAUGAAGAAUACGUGCCAUUACCCGAAGCCCAUGAUCUUCCACGACGGUCGGCUGGCGUUCACGCCGACACCGGCUGCCGCGCUCGCCAUGUACAUCUACUUCCCCUUCGCUAUCGUCCUCGCCAUCGUCCGCAUCGCCAUCUACACCAUACUUCCCCGGCUUAUGACGGGCGUCGCCGCCGCACUUGCCGGCGUGCGGGUGCGCGUCACCGGCGCCCCUACUUCCGCGGUCGACGGAGCCACGGCAGGCGGCCGGCUCUACGUGUGCAACCACCGCACGCUCCUCGACGCGAUCGCCAUCUCCAGUGCGCUCGGGAAGUCCGUCUUCGCCGUGACCUACAGCCUGGGCCGCCUGUCCGAGCUGAUCUCGCCCAUCCCGCUGCUCCGACUCACCCGCGGCCGCGAGGAGGACCGGCGCCGCAUGGCGUUGCUGCUGGCGCGGGGUGACGUCGUCGUUAGCCCCGAGGGCACCACGUGCCGCGAGCCGUACCUGCUACGGUUCAGCCCGCUGUUCGCGGAGCUUGCCGACGAGGUGAGCCCCGUGGCGGUGGACGAGCGCUCGACCAUGUUCUACGGCACGUCGACGUCGCCAAUCGACAAGUGCUUCGACUCGGUGUACUUCUUGAUGAACCCUCGACCGGAGUACUCCGUCCACUUCCUGAAGCCGGUGCCCACCGGCGGCCAGAACAGCAGCAUCGAGGUGGCGAACCAGGUGCAGCGGGUGCUCGCCGACGCGCUGGGGUUCACGCCCACGGCGCUGACGAGGAAGGACAAGUACAUGCUGCUCGCCGGCAACGAAGGGACAGUGGCGACGAAGAAAAGCAAUUAG